This 572-nucleotide ribosomal RNA is filed under the name Escherichia coli. Its description in RNAcentral is "bacterial LSU rRNA". It matches the Rfam family "Bacterial large subunit ribosomal RNA", at positions 635 to 1208 of the family's 2925-position model. Lineage: Bacteria; Pseudomonadati; Pseudomonadota; Gammaproteobacteria; Enterobacterales; Enterobacteriaceae. The record is from RNAcentral.
CUGUAGCAAGGUUAACCGAAUAGGGGAGCCGAAGGGAAACCGAGUCUUAACUGGGCGUUAAGUUGCAGGGUAUAGACCCGAAACCCGGUGAUCUAGCCAUGGGCAGGUUGAAGGUUGGGUAACACUAACUGGAGGACCGAACCGACUAAUGUUGAAAAAUUAGCGGAUGACUUGUGGCUGGGGGGGAAAGGCCAAUCAAACCGGGAGAUAGCUGGUUCUCCCCGAAAGCUAUUUAGGUAGCGCCUCGUGAAUUCAUCUCCGGGGGUAGAGCACUGUUUCGGCAAGGGGGUCAUCCCGACUUACCAACCCGAUGCAAACUGCGAAUACCGGAGAAUGUUAUCACGGGAGACACACGGCGGGUGCUAACGUCCGUCGUGAAGAGGGAAACAACCCAGACCGCCAGCUAAGGUCCCAAAGUCAUGGUUAAGUGGGAAACGAUGUGGGAAGGCCCAGACAGCCAGGAUGUUGGCUUAGAAGCAGCCAUCAUUUAAAGAAAGCGUAAUAGCUCACUGGUCGAGUCGGCCUGCGCGGAAGAUGUAACGGGGCUAAACCAUGCACCGAAGCUGCGGCAG